RNAcentral lists this ribosomal RNA (434 nucleotides) under uncultured bacterium. RNAcentral's name for it is "bacterial SSU rRNA". It matches the Rfam family "Bacterial small subunit ribosomal RNA", at positions 958 to 1392 of the family's 1533-position model. The record is from RNAcentral.
AACGCGAAGAACCUUACCUGGUCUUGACAUCCACAGAAUUUCUCAGAGAUGAGGAAGUGCCUUCGGGAACUGUGAGACAGGUGCUGCAUGGCUGUCGUCAGCUCGUGUUGUGAAAUGUUGGGUUAAGUCCCGCAACGAGCGCAACCCUUAUCCUUUGUUGCCAGCGGUCCGGCCGGGAACUCAAAGGAGACUGCCAGGGACAACCUGGAGGAAGGCGGGGAUGACGUCAAAUCAUCAUGCCCCUUAUGGCUUGGGCUACACACGUGCUACAAUGGCGUAAACAAAGGGAAGCAGCCCUGUGAAGGUGAGCAAAUCCCAAAAAUAACGUCUCAGUUCGGAUUGUAGUCUGCAACUCGACUACAUGAAGCUGGAAUCGCUAGUAAUCGCGGAUCAGAAUGCCGCGGUGAAUACGUUCCCGGGUCUUGUACACACCG